Molecule: ribosomal RNA, 433 nt
Filed under: uncultured bacterium
Lineage: Bacteria
Description: bacterial SSU rRNA
Rfam family: Bacterial small subunit ribosomal RNA
Source: RNAcentral
AACGAACGCUGGCGGCAUGCCUAACACAUGCAAGUCGAGCGAGGUAGCAAUACCUAGCGGCGGACGGGUGAGUAACGCGUGGGAACGUACCCUUUGCUACGGAAUAGCCCCGGGAAACUGGGAGUAAUACCGUAUGUGCCCUUCGGGGGAAAGAUUUAUCGGCAAAGGAUCGGCCCGCGUUGGAUUAGGUAGUUGGUGGGGUAAUGGCCUACCAAGCCGACGAUCCAUAGCUGGUUUGAGAGGAUGAUCAGCCACACUGGGACUGAGACACGGCCCAGACUCCUACGGGAGGCAGCAGUGGGGAAUCUUAGACAAUGGGCGCAAGCCUGAUCUAGCCAUGCCGCGUGAGUGAUGAAGGCCUUAGGGUUGUAAAGCUCUUUCAGAUGGGAAGAUAAUGACGGUACCAUCAGAAGAAGCCCCGGCUAACUCCGUG